RNAcentral lists this ribosomal RNA (508 nucleotides) under uncultured bacterium. Its description in RNAcentral is "partial 16S ribosomal RNA". It matches the Rfam family "Bacterial small subunit ribosomal RNA", at positions 30 to 523 of the family's 1533-position model. The record is from RNAcentral.
AUUGAACGCUGGCGGCAGGCCUAACACAUGCAAGUCGAGCGGCAGCGGGAAAGUAGCUUGCUACUUUUGCCGGCGAGCGGCGGACGGGUGAGUAAUGCCUGGGAAAUUGCCCAGUCGAGGGGGAUAACAGUUGGAAACGACUGCUAAUACCGCAUACGCCCUACGGGGGAAAGCAGGGGACCUUCGGGCCUUGCGCGAUUGGAUAUGCCCAGGUGGGAUUAGCUAGUUGGUGAGGUAAUGGCUCACCAAGGCGACGAUCCCUAGCUGGUCUGAGAGGAUGAUCAGCCACACUGGAACGGAGACACGGUCCAGACACCUACGGGAGGCAGCAGUGGGGAAUAUUGCACAAUGGGGGAAACCCUGAUGCAGCCAUGCCGCGUGUGUGAAGAAGGCCUUCGGGUUGUAAAGCACUUUCAGCGAGGAGGAAAGGUUGAUGCCUAAUACGUAUCAACUGUGACGUUACUCGCAGAAGAAGCACCGGCUAACUCCGUGCCAGCCGCCGCGGUAA